AAUAACCCGGAGAUGAUAUCUGAGACACGAUAUCAGGCCCUACGGGGCGCAGCAGGCGCGAAAACUUCACAAUGCGCGAAAGCGCGAUGAGGGGAUCCCAAGUGCUUGCACGUAAGUGUAAGCUGUUUUUCUGUCUAAAAAGCAGAGAGAGUAAGGGCUGGGUAAGACGGGUGCCAGCCGCCGCGGUAAUACCUGCAGCUCAAGUGGUGAUCGCUAUUAUUGGGCCUAAAACGUCCGUAGCCGGUCUUAUAAAUGCCUGGGUAAAUCGGGCCGCUCAACGGUUCGAAUUCCGGGUAGACUGUAAGACUUGGGACCGGGAGAGGCUAGAGGUACUCCUGGGGUAGAAGUGAAAUUCUGUAAUCCUAGGGGGACCACCAGUGGCGAAGGCGUCUAGCUAGAACGGGUCUGACGGUGAGGGACGAAGCCCUGGGGCGCAAACGGGAUUAGAUACCCCGGUAGUCCAGGGUGUAAACGCUGCUUGCUUGAUGUUAGUCUGGCUCCGAGCCAGAUUAGUGUCGGAGAGAAGUUGUUGAGCAAGCUGCCUGGG
Molecule: ribosomal RNA, 547 nt
Filed under: uncultured archaeon
Lineage: Archaea
Description: bacterial SSU rRNA
Rfam family: Archaeal small subunit ribosomal RNA
Source: RNAcentral